RNAcentral lists this ribosomal RNA (1661 nucleotides) under Orbilia alba. RNAcentral describes it as "eukaryotic LSU rRNA". The record is from RNAcentral. Lineage: Eukaryota; Fungi; Ascomycota; Orbiliomycetes; Orbiliales; Orbiliaceae.
AUGUGGGUGGUGGUGCAUGGCCGUUCUUAGUUGGUGGAGUGAUUKGUCUGCUUAAUUGCGUUAACGAACGAGACCUUAACCUGCUAAAUAGCCAGGCUAACUUUUGUUGGUCGCCGGCUUCUUAGAGGGACUAUCGGCUCAAGCCGAUGGAAGUUUGAGGCAAUAACAGGUCUGUGAUGCCCUUAGAUGUUCUGGGCCGCACGCGCGCUACACUGACAGAGCCAACGAGUAUAAACCUUAACCGAGAGGUUUGGGUAAUCUUGUUAAACUCUGUCGUGCUGGGGAUAGGGCAUUGCAAUUAUUGCCCUUCAACGAGGAAUAUCUAGUAAGCGCAAGUCAUCAGCUUGCGUUGAUUACGUCCCUGCCCUUUGUACACACCGCCCGUCGCUACUACCGAUUGAAUGGCUCAGUGAGGCCUUCGGACUGGCUCCAGGAGGUCGGCAACGACCACUCAGAGCCGGAAAGUUGGUCAAACUUGGUCAUUUAGAGGAAGUAAAAGUCGUAACAAGGUUUCCGUAGGUGAACCUGCGGAAGGAUCAUUACCUGAGGCUACAGGUUGGAACUUGUUCCAGCACCUGGCUUAACCUUUCAACCACUUGUGAACCAAAACACCUUUGCGCUUCGGCAGCAGCUGGGCCGGGCAACCGGUCCCAGCUUAAGCCUGCCGCUAGCACCUUUUCAAAACUUGAACCCAUUAAACAUGUCUGAUGACCAAAUUUUCGAAUGAAAAUUAAAACUUUCAACAACGGAUCUCUUGGUUCCCGCAUCGAUGAAGAACGCAGCGAAACGCGAUAGUUAAUGUGAAUUGCAGAAUUCAGUGAAUCAUCGAGUCUUUGAACGCACAUUGCGCCCAUCGGUAUUCCGUUGGGCAUGUCUGUUUGAGCGUCAUUACAAAAAUCGACACCAGUCGGUUGUGAGCCCGCUGGGUUUUACCACCCAGCUGGCUUUAAAGUCAUGAGCUCUGCUGGCCGCCUGCCAACCGUGACAUAGUAAGACUACUUGUCCAGGGGAAGCAUUCAAGCGGUACGGCCUGAACAAUACCAAACCCAUUAGGUUUGACCUCAGAUCAGACAAGGAUACCCGCUGAACUUAAGCAUAUCAAUAAGCGGAGGAAAAGAAACCAACAGGGAUUGCCUCAGUAACGGCGAGUGAAGCGGCAACAGCUCAAAUUUGAAAUCUGGAGCCUUUGGCUUCCGAGUUGUAAUUUGAAGAGGAUGUUUCGGAUGCGGCCUGGGCCUAAGUUCCUUGGAACAGGACGUCAUGGAGGGUGAGAAUCCCGUACAUGGCCCCCGGCUUGCUCCAUGUGAAACUCCUUCGAAGAGUCGAGUUGUUUGGGAAUGCAGCUCAAAAUGGGUGGUAAAUUUCAUCUAAAGCUAAAUAAUGGCGGGAGACCGAUAGCGCACAAGUAGAGUGAUCGAAAGAUGAAAAGCACUUUGAAAAGAGAGUUAAACAGUACGUGAAAUUGUUGAAAGGGAAGCGCUUGCAAUCAGACUCGCUUGCGGUUGAUCAACGUUCCUUUUGGUGCGUGCACUCUGCCGUUGGCGGGCCAGCAUCAGUUGGGGCGGCGGGACAAAGACAGUUGGAAUGUGGCUCCCCUCGGGGAGUGUUAUAGCCUUCUGUGCAAUGCCGCCAGUCCCGACUGAGGUCCGCGGUCGCCUAGG